AGUUUGAUCAUGGCUCAGAUUGAACGCUGGCGGCAGGCCUAACACAUGCAAGUCGAACGGUAACUGGAAGCAGCUUGCUGCUUCGCUGACGAGUGGCGGACGGGUGAGUAAUGUCUGGGAAACUGCCUGAUGGAGGGGGAUAACUACUGGAAACGGUAGCUAAUACCGCAUAACGUCGCAAGACCAAAGAGGGGGACCUUCGGGCCUCUUGCCAUCGGAUGUGCCCAGAUGGGAUUAGCUAGUAGGUGGGGUAACGGCUCACCUAGGCGACAAUCCCUAGCUGGUCUGAGAGGAUGACCAGCCACACUGGAACUGAGACACGGUCCAGACUCCUACGGGAGGCAGCAGUGGGGAAUAUCGCACAAUGGGCGCAAGCUGAUGCAGCCAUGCCGCGUGUGAAGAAGGCCAUCGGGAUGUAAAGUACUUUCAGCGGGGAGGAAGGCGAUAAGGUUAAUAACCUUGU
RNAcentral lists this ribosomal RNA (463 nucleotides) under uncultured bacterium. RNAcentral's name for it is "bacterial SSU rRNA". It matches the Rfam family "Bacterial small subunit ribosomal RNA", at positions 10 to 472 of the family's 1533-position model. The record is from RNAcentral.